This 243-nucleotide long non-coding RNA is filed under the name Brassica napus (rape). Its description in RNAcentral is "long non-coding RNA (BNAP_LNC026747)". The record is from RNAcentral. Lineage: Eukaryota; Viridiplantae; Streptophyta; Magnoliopsida; Brassicales; Brassicaceae.
AAGGGGGGGUGUAUUCAAUCUAAAAUUUGAGGUGAUUUGAUUUCUAAUGAGGUUUUAGAUGAUUUUAAGGAAUUGCAGAGAAUAAAAUGAUUUUUGUUAAACCACUUUAGAAUAUCACAUAAAACUAUGGGAUUUGAGUUUAAUUUUUUUAACUAAGAAACUUCAACCAAACACUCUUAAAUUACCUGAAAACUUUAAAAUUCUACAACUUAAAAUAUUUUCAAUAACAGUGGAUUUCAGAGU